GGUUCUAUGGUUUAAUGGUUAGCACUCUGGACUUUGAAUCCAGCGAUCAGAGUUCAAAUCUCGGUAGGACCU
RNAcentral lists this transfer RNA (72 nucleotides) under Danionella translucida. It matches the Rfam family "tRNA". Rfam says of the family: Transfer RNA (tRNA) molecules are approximately 80 nucleotides in length. Their secondary structure includes four short double-helical elements and three loops (D, anti-codon, and T loops). The record is from Rfam by way of RNAcentral. RNAcentral also lists the same sequence under 1 other name. Lineage: Eukaryota; Metazoa; Chordata; Actinopteri; Cypriniformes; Danionidae.